Molecule: long non-coding RNA, 1903 nt
Filed under: Mytilus galloprovincialis (Mediterranean mussel)
Lineage: Eukaryota; Metazoa; Mollusca; Bivalvia; Mytilida; Mytilidae
Source: RNAcentral
UUUUUGUCAACAAAAAUUACAAAGCGCACAAACAACAUUAUUGGAAUGGAAAUACAUGUAUAUAAACAAAUAUGUAUAAUGUUUUUUAUCAAUAAAAUCCUUUUAUAUAGAUAUAGCAAAUUGAUGCUAAAUCAAUCUUCCAAACUCAUGACAUAUCUUACUUACAGUGUUGUAUCAUCCUCACAAGAAAAUAAUUAAAUUUAUUCCAUACUGACAUUGUCUCAUACAAAAAGUUUUCUAUAGAGUUGCAGCUAAUCUCAAUCAUGUAAACUGCAUGUACAAUCUUUAGCAAUAUGUAUUUCUGCUGAUGAAUUUCAUUCUUUAACAGAAAAAUUUACAAAACAUCAAAAUUAGCCAAAAAAAAUGUAUAUGCUUGUUUUAGGCUAUCUCUAAAAAUUAAAAAAACAAUUGUCAGAAAAUGAUUUCUGGAUUUUUCAUAUGAUAUUGUGUGAAAAAAAUCAAUUAAUUUGUACAUUUAAAAAACAGUAGACUUGCAAACAUUCUCUUCAAUGCACAACUAAUAUAUCUAGUUGUUUUCAACAUUUGUUGACAAGAAACCAUUCAUUUAGCCUUAAAAUAUAAUAAUUGUUACAAAUCCCCAUAUAAACAAAAGCAGACAAUCCUCUAGCAAUAACCUGAUUUAUGUUUGUUAGAAACUGACCAUUAUAUUCAGUCUACAUGCUAUUUGUGGAGUUGAUAUUGGUGUUUAAGAUUUACUUUUGAAUUUUCGUAUAAAUAAAAGUUUUCUACAUACAAUUAGACAAACCAAGCUAAAUAAACAGUGACUGUUUGCAAUUUAUUAAACGUUGACAUAGAUAUUUACCCUAUCCAACAUGCACAAAAUUCCCCCAGAUACUUUGAGUUCUAACCUAGGUUUGACUCUAGCAUUUUACUUAAAAUCAAAGAUGUCUUGAAUUCCCCAAUGUAAAAUAUAUAUAAAUUAGAAAAUUCAAAUAGUAACCUUAAAAAUUUACAUUACAAGAACUUGAAAAAAAAAUGACAAAAAAUUCAUAUUAAUCAAGAAAUAUAUGCAUGAAGUAAAUUUUAUGAAGAAUUUUAACCUGAUAUAUAUGCAUCUCUGAGUAUACAUUUUCAAAUAUGAGUGUGCUACCUAUUCUUGCAUCAUUACUCAGACAAUAUCCCUGAAAGACGAUAGUAGGCAUACAUGUUACUGUUAAAUAGAUACAAACAAUAAUUAUGAUUUGAGACAUGAAGGACUUCACUCUUGCUUAUUCUUUUCCAAAUUUGGCCUCAGUUGUAGAGUUGUUUAAUAAGUCAAACUACUGUAUUACAAGCCUAUCAACACCGAGGUUGUGAGUUUGAAUACCCCAAUGGACAGGUCACUCAACUCUAAUCUUAUUUGACUAGGAUUGUCAGUAUUCCUACUAAAGUUUGUAGACCUCUCCAGACACUCAAGCUUCCUCCACAAAUAAUAACUGACCGCCAGGCAAUAGCACAAUAGUAUUGAAAGUGGUGUUGAACACCAAUCAAUCAAUUCUUUUCCAAUUAACAUGCUGUGGACCAUAAAUUAUUACAACUUAAUUGGUUUUUUUUUCAAUAUCAAAAGUAAUUAAUAUCAAUACAAAUUUUGAAAACAAGAAUUAAUAUCAACUUUAUCAAAAAUCUGACUUGGCAAGAAAUUUUCACAGGGACUCAGGGAAGCUUAAAAAGUAGGAUUUUUCAGUAUACAGAUAUAGAUAAUAUGCUGCACAUAGCUAGUAAACAAAGAAAUAUUGAUAAAUAUAUUAAUAACUUAAAACAAAAAGACUGGAAAUUGAUUUUUUAAACAUUGAUUAAGUUCUUAAUCUACUAACUGAGUCUCUCUUGAAAUCAUAUAUUUUUAAAGCACUUUAACAAACACCUGCUUUUAAAAACACUGAAUAUUUAAAUUUUUAACAAAAAU